UUGGCGGAAGGGUGAGUAAGGCGACGGUAAUCAACCCCAUGGUUGGGUAUAGCCGCGGGAAACUGCGGGUAAUCCCCAGCGACGUCCGGAUCGGGCAUCCGAAUCGGACCAAAGUCCUGGCGCCGUGGACGAGCCGUCGUGGUAUUAGGUCGUUGGCGGGGUAAUGGCCCACCAAGCCUAUGAUGCCUACCGGGCGUGCGAGCGUGGCCCGGCACACUGGGACUGAGACACUGCCCAGACUCCUACGGGAGGCUGCAGUCGAGAAUCUUCGGCAAUGGGCGCAAGCCUGACCGAGCGACGCCGCGUGGAGGAUGAAGGCCUUCGGGUUGUAAACUCCUGUCGAGGGGGAAGAAGGUCGGGUAACCGGCUUGACCGAUCCCUGGAGGAAGCACGGGCUAAGUUCGUG
This 406-nucleotide ribosomal RNA is filed under the name uncultured bacterium. RNAcentral describes it as "bacterial SSU rRNA". It matches the Rfam family "Bacterial small subunit ribosomal RNA", at positions 95 to 507 of the family's 1533-position model. The record is from RNAcentral.